AUGCAAGUCGAACGCUGAAGCCCAGCUUGCUGGGUGGAUGAGUGGCGAACGGGUGASCUAMCACGUGAGUAACCUGCCCCCUUCUUUGGGAUAACGCCCGGAAACGGGUGCUAAUACUGGAUAUUCACUGGCCUUCGCAUGGGGGUUGGUGGAAAGGUUUUUUCUGGUGGGGGAUGGGCUCGCGGCCUAUCAGCUUGUUGGUGGGGUGAUGGCCUACCAAGGCUUUGACGGGUAGCCGGCCUGAGAGGGUGACCGGUCACAUUGGGACUGAGAUACGGCCCAGACUCCUACGGGAGGCAGCAGUGGGGAAUAUUGCACAAUGGGCGAAAGCCUGAUGCAGCGACGCCGCGUGAGGGAUGACGGCCUUCGGGUUGUAAACCUCUUUCGCUCAUGGUCAAGCCGCAACAGUGGUUGUGGUGAGGGUAGUGGGUAAAGAAGCGCCGGCUAACUACGUGCCAGCCGCCGGSGKUAAAA
This 474-nucleotide ribosomal RNA is filed under the name Schaalia odontolytica. RNAcentral's name for it is "bacterial SSU rRNA". Lineage: Bacteria; Bacillati; Actinomycetota; Actinomycetes; Actinomycetales; Actinomycetaceae. The record is from RNAcentral.